Molecule: ribosomal RNA, 300 nt
Filed under: uncultured Lactobacillus sp.
Lineage: Bacteria; Bacillati; Bacillota; Bacilli; Lactobacillales; Lactobacillaceae
Description: bacterial SSU rRNA
Rfam family: Bacterial small subunit ribosomal RNA
Source: RNAcentral
UGAUACUACAGGCCAGUGGCGGCGGGAAUACGGAGGGGGCAAGCGGUAGUAGGAAUUACUGUGCGUAAAGGGGGCGUAGGCGGGAAUGAAAGUAAGAUGUGAAAAACCGGUGCUCAACAACGGAAUGGCAUCUGAAACUGCAUUUCUGGAGGGAUGGCGGAGAAAACGGAAUUCCACGUGUAGCGGUGAAAUGCGUAGAUAUGUGGAAGAACACCUGUGGCGAAAGCGGUUUUCUAGCUUAAACCUGACGCUGAGGCACGAAAGCAAGGGGAGCAAACAGGAUUAGAUACCCUGGUAGUC